This 496-nucleotide ribosomal RNA is filed under the name uncultured bacterium. RNAcentral's name for it is "partial 16S ribosomal RNA". It matches the Rfam family "Bacterial small subunit ribosomal RNA", at positions 29 to 507 of the family's 1533-position model. The record is from RNAcentral.
AUGAACGCUGGCGGCGUGCCUAAUACAUGCAAGUCGAGCGAACGGACGAGAAGCUUGCUUUUCUGAUGUUAGCGGCGGACGGGUGAGUAACACGUGGAUAACCUACCUAUAAGACUGGGAUAACUUCGGGAAACCGGAGCUAAUACCGGAUAAUAUUUUGAACCGCAUGGUUCAAAAGUGAAAGACGGUCUUGCUGUCACUUAUAGAUGGAUCCGCGCUGCAUUAGCUAGUUGGUAAGGUAACGGCUUACCAAGGCAACGAUGCAUAGCCGACCUGAGAGGGUGAUCGGCCACACUGGAACUGAGACACGGUCCAGACUCCUACGGGAGGCAGCAGUAGGGAAUCUUCCGCAAUGGGCGAAAGCCUGACGGAGCAACGCCGCGUGAGUGAUGAAGGUCUUCUGAUCGUAAAACUCUGUUAUUAGGGAAGAACAUAUGUGUAAGUAACUGUGCACAUCUUGACGGUACCUAAUCAGAAAGCCACGGCUAACUACGUG